ACGGGUGCGUAACGCGUGGGAAUCUGCCCUUGGGUUCGGAAUAACAGUUAGAAAUGACUGCUAAUACCGGAUGAUGUCUUCGGACCAAAGAUUUAUCGCCCAAGGAUGAGCCCGCGUAAGAUUAGCUAGUUGGUGGGGUAAUGGCCCACCAAGGCGACGAUCUUUAGCUGGUCUGAGAGGAUGAUCAGCCACACUGGGACUGAGACACGGCCCAGACUCCUACGGGAGGCAGCAGUGGGGAAUAUUGGACAAUGGGCGCAAGCCUGAUCCAGCAAUGCCGCGUGAGUGAUGAAGGCCUUAGGGUUGUAAAGCUCUUUUACCAGGGAUGAUAAUGACAGUGCCUGGAGAAUAAGCUCCGGCUAACUCCGUGCCAGCAGCCGCGGUAAUACGGAGGGAGCUAGCGUUGUUCGGAAUUACUGGGCGUAAAGCGUACGUAGGCGGUUAUUCAAGUCAGAGGUGAAAGCCCGGGGCUCAACCCCGGAACGGCCUUUGAAACUAGGUAGCCAGAGUCUUGGAGAGGUUAGUGGAAUUCCGAGUGUAGAGGUGAAAUUCGUAGA
Molecule: ribosomal RNA, 557 nt
Filed under: uncultured Novosphingobium sp.
Lineage: Bacteria; Pseudomonadati; Pseudomonadota; Alphaproteobacteria; Sphingomonadales; Sphingomonadaceae
Description: bacterial SSU rRNA
Rfam family: Bacterial small subunit ribosomal RNA
Source: RNAcentral